CAGGCAGGCCUGCCGCCCUACCUGUCUCGCAGUGGUAGCCGAAGAAGCUCUCUGGGCAGACGCACAGACUGCACAUACAUGGAUCCCAGGCUGCUUGAUACUGUUCUUCAUCCUCCUUCACAGACUCCAAAUACGUGGAUCCCAGGCUGCUUGAUACUGUUCUCCAUCCUCCUUCGCAGACUCCAGAUACGUGGAUCCUAUUACCCUAAUAUCGUUCUGCAGGUUGCUGAAGAUCUCUUCUUUUUCUUUUAGUCUUAUUCUCUCUGUGAUGCAUAUUGAAUUGUUUCUGUUUCACUCUUCAGGUUCAUUGAUCUUUCCUUCUGCAAUAUCUAACCUGCUGUAAAUACUAUUCAGUGUAUUUUAAAAACUCAGAUAUAUUUUUCAUUUCUACAAGUUUUUAAAAAUACCUUCUACUUCUCAUUAGGUUUUUUUCCCCUCAACAAUCUUGAUUAUAGGAGCAUAUUCAUAAUAGAUAAUUAAACAUUUGUAUCUGCUAAUUCUGUCAUUUCUGGUGCCUGUUUCUAUUGAUCUAUUUUUCUCCUGACUGUGAGUUAUAUGUUACUUCUUUGUAGACCUGAUAAUUUUUGACUGGGUAUUUUGGAGUUCUGGAUUCUGUUGUAUUAUUGAUAUACUCCUGUUGAGGAGUAUAGGAUUUUAUUCUGGCACAUGGCUCAAUGACUUAGGAUCAGUUUGAUCCUUUUAAGCUUUCUUUAAGAUCUGUUAGGGCAGGUCGACAUUAGUCUUUAGUUCAGCACUACUAAAGUGACACCCCACUGAGGACUCUAUGCAAUAGACUCCCAGCCCUGUUUGAGCUCCAGGAAGUGUUUGACUUACUGCUUUCUAGUGGUUCUUUCCCCAGCC
This 861-nucleotide long non-coding RNA is filed under the name Homo sapiens (human). RNAcentral describes it as "HSALNT0049861". The record is from RNAcentral. Lineage: Eukaryota; Metazoa; Chordata; Mammalia; Primates; Hominidae.